RNAcentral lists this transfer RNA (77 nucleotides) under Deltaproteobacteria bacterium. RNAcentral's name for it is "tRNA-Lys". It matches the Rfam family "tRNA". From Rfam's summary of the family: Transfer RNA (tRNA) molecules are approximately 80 nucleotides in length. Their secondary structure includes four short double-helical elements and three loops (D, anti-codon, and T loops). RNAcentral also lists the same sequence under 3 other names. The record is from RNAcentral. Lineage: Bacteria; Pseudomonadati; Myxococcota; Myxococcia.
GGGCCCUUAGCUCAGCUGGUAGCAGCAACUGACUCUUAAUCAGUAGGUCGUCGGUUCGAACCCGACAGGGCCCACCA